This 518-nucleotide ribosomal RNA is filed under the name uncultured bacterium. Its description in RNAcentral is "partial 16S ribosomal RNA". It matches the Rfam family "Bacterial small subunit ribosomal RNA", at positions 29 to 507 of the family's 1533-position model. The record is from RNAcentral.
ACGAACGCUGGCGGCGUGCCUAAUACAUGCAAGUCGAGCGAGUCUGCCUUGAAGAUCGGAGUGCUUGCACUCUGUGAAACAAGAUACAGGCUAGCGGCGGACGGGUGAGUAACACGUGGGUAACCUGCCCAAGAGAUCGGGAUAACACCUGGAAACAGAUGCUAAUACCGGAUAACAACAGAUGAUGCCUAUCAACUGUUUAAAAGAUGGUUCUGCUAUCACUCUUGGAUGGACCUGCGGUGCAUUAGCUAGUUGGUAGGGUAACGGCCUACCAAGGCGAUGAUGCAUAGCCGAGUUGAGAGACUGAUUGGCCACAUUGGGACUGAGACACGGCCCAAACUCCUACGGGAGGCAGCAGUAGGGAAUCUUCCACAAUGGACGCAAGUCUGAUGGAGCAACGCCGCGUGAGUGAAGAAGGGUUUCGGCUCGUAAAGCUCUGUUGUUGGUGAAGAAGGACAGGGGUAGUAACUGACCUUUGUUUGACGGUAAUCAAUUAGAAAGUCACGGCUAACUACGUG